CAGAAUCCGAAGCAGCUCCAGGCUCCAAGCCGUCGGCACAGAGCCCGACGCGGGGCUCGAACUCACCAACCGUGAGAUCACGACCUGAGCCGAAGUCGGACGCUGAACUGACUGAGCCGCCCAGGCGCCCCAGAGCUCACUCGUCUUGCUGGACUGGAGCUCCGACCCCCCUCCGGGCUCCCGCGACAACCAUGACCUUGCCGUGACCUUGACGAGGCCAGGUCCAUCACAUUCGCGGGGCCACACGCCGCGGUCUCUGACGCGGACUUCCUUUGCCCAGGGGUCCUCGGUGCUGCCCCAGGUGCAGCGUCUCCCCGUCUCCGAGGCUCGGCGACACGCCUGUGUGUGGGCCACACGGUCCUUUCCGCCGCCGCUGGAGCCGGAACCGCCACGGCGCGUUCCGCAGCCACCGUUGUACGUUCCCGCCCACAGCCGACACGGCUUCCGGUUCCGCCACGGCCCGGCGGUGCGUGUUGUUUGCCGCUCUGGGACGGGGGCCGCCCCGGUGGCUGCCGGGUGGCGUCUCUGGUGGUUUUGAUGUGCAUUUCCCAGUGGUUCGCGUGUGGAGCGUUACUGAGGCUGCCGGACUUCGUGAUGAGACACUCGGCCGGGAGGCCAGCGGCUCAUCCCGCGAGUGUCCCUCGAGGCUGGGAGUCCUGGGGCGGGGCCGGCCCGUGGUCAGCUCCUCAGACCACCCCCCUCCAGCCACGCGAGGCACCUUACAGUCCCCGUGUUACAGGUUCUCUGCGCUCCAGAACCACACGUGACCCUGCGGAGAUGACCGUCCUCGAGGUCAGCAACGUGCUACCAAUUUCACCUGAUCACUGUGUGCAGAAUCCGGAAAGCCUAGGUGUGGUCCCCAAGGGUAAUCUCCAAAGGGUGCGUCUUCCGUGGCCCAGCUGUGAUUUCAACCCCGCGUGCUUGCUCGUAGCGCCCCAGCCUCCACGUCACGUUCUUUACGAGUUAACGGUGCAUUUACUGAAGGCAGAGUUAGCCCUCUGUCAGGACACACGUGUGAGAGUGGGUUUCUGCCUGGCGCAAUUCGAUAUACUGGCUAUUAAGCCGCCAAAAGACGGCUGAGGUCUAGACUCGCUUGCUGACGGACCCUGGCAGUGCGUUGUUUGGGAUGUGUUCGGAUGCAAGGAAACAUGACAUCCACUCAGUUCUGUCCCAGAUGCACCGAAGAAUUCGAGACCGGAGCCCAGAAUGGGGAGGGAGAGUUGACUGAGUAGAGGGAGAACUCGACGCCAAUGUCCUAUUCGACAGAGACCGCAGCAACCUGGAUGCCUCGCGGACGGCAGAGGGGAGCUUUGGAAAAUUCAUUCCACGUGUGACGGGAGACCCCCAACUGUGGGAAUGGACGCGAGAACUGGAAGAUGCACUCCCCGAAGACCCGGGCGCCUGCUGCUGUCUCCCUCUGACGUCCGCAGCACGAGGCUUUGUCACGUGUGGCCACGGCCUGGCUGACACGGAGCGCCAGUGCCCAGACGCUGCGAAGAGAAAGAGACAGAGUGCAAGCAGGGGAGGGGCAGAGAGAGAGGGAGACACAGGAUCCGAAGCAGGCUCCAGGCUUCGAGCCGUCAGCACGGAGCCCGACGCGGGACUUGAACCCACGAACCGGGAGAUCCUGACCAGAGCUGAAGUCAGACGCCCAACCGACCGGGCCACCCAGGUGCCAUGUCUUUUCUCUUUAGAAGAUUGCUUUAUUAUCCUAAAUUAUGGGGGGCUGAAUUAUUCUGUAAGUUGUGCUAAUUGUCUCUCAGAGCAUCUGCUGUCCUCAUCUGCCUUGCACAUUUGGUGUGUGACUCACAGGGAGGGCCAUCCUUGGUCCCUUCUGUCCUCAUCGUUCCACUGCUGCUUCUUUAUGCCUGGUCGCGGCGACCUCCACCUGGCCCACUCAGCUCCGCGGUUCGAAACCAGGUCUUAAGUUUGGAAACUUGAGGCUCUUGUCCGCAGGAACGUUUCGGAUCCAGAUCCUGAGCCGGCGGGUAGUGUGGCCCAGGCCCUGCCUGUGUAGACAUCCCUAAUCCCUUCUGCUGCUUUGGGCCACAGCUUAAUGUAGGAG
This is a long non-coding RNA of Acinonyx jubatus (cheetah), 2065 nucleotides long. RefSeq lists it as uncharacterized. The transcript is spliced from 5 exons. NCBI's taxonomy places the organism in Eukaryota, Metazoa, Chordata, Mammalia, Carnivora, Felidae. The record is from RefSeq and is a predicted model, not a curated record.